CCUGGUUGAUCCUGCCGGUAGUCAUAUGCUUGUCUCAAAGAUUAAGCCAUGCAUGUGUAAGUAUGAACUAUUUCAGACUGUGAAACUGCGAAUGGCUCAUUAAAUCAGUUGUAGUUUGUUUGAUGGUGCGUGCUACUGGGAUAACGUAGUAAUUCUAGAGCUAAUACGUGCAACAAACCCGACUUCGGAAGGAUGCAUUUAUUAGAUAAAAAAAAAAAGGGCGUGGGCUUUGCCCAUUGCUCGAUGAUUCAUGAUAACUUCGACGGAUGCGCGCGGCCCUCGUGCGGCGGCGCAUCAUUCAAAUUUCUGCCCUAUCAACUUUCGAUGGUAGGAUAGGGGCCUACCAUGGUGGUGGCGGGUGGCGGAGAAUUAAGGUUGAUUCGGAGAGGGAGCCUGAAAGCGGCUGCCACAUCAAGGAAGGCAGCGGUAGCGCGCAAAUUACCCAAUCGACCACGGGGAGGUAGUGACAAUAAAUAACAAUACCGGGCUCUUGAGUGCGGUAAUGGAAUAGUACAAUCUAAAUCCCUUAACGAGGAUCCAUUGGAGGGCAAGUCUGGUGCCAGCGGCAGCGGUAAUUCCACUCAAUAGCGUAUAUUUAAGUUGUUGCAGUUAAAAAGUUAAAGUUGUUGGGCCGGGUGGUCGGUCCUUCCGUGGUGUGCACGGUCGUCCCAUCCCUUCUGUCGGCGUCGUGCCUGGCCUUAACUGGCGGGUCGUGCCUCCUCGGCUGUUACUGAAGAAAUUAGAGUGCUCAAAAGCAAGCCCGCGCUCUGGAAACAUAAGCAUGGGAUAACAUCACAGGAUUUCGGUCCUAUUGUGUUGGCCUUGGGGAUGGAGUAAUGAUUAAGAGGGACGAUCGGGGGGCAUUCGUAUUUCAUAGUCAGAGGUGAAAUUCUUGAAUUUCUGAAAAACGAACCACUGCUGAAAGCAUUUGCCAAGGAUGUUUUCAUUAAUCAAAGCGAAAGUUGGGGGCUCGAAAACGAUCGAAUCUUAUCCUAGUCUCAACCAUAAAACGAUGCCGACCAGGGGAUCGGCGGAUGUUACUCUUAGGACUCCGCCGGCACCUUAUGAAAAUCAAAGUCUUUGGGUUCGGGGGGGGUAUAAUGGUCGCAGGCUGAAACUUAAAGGAAUUGGAAGAAGGGCACCACCGGGAGUGGAGCCUGCGGCUUAAUUUGACUCAACAGGGGAAACUUACCAGGUCCAGACAUAGCAAGGAUUGACAGACUGAGAAACUCUUUCUUGAUUCUAUGGGUGGUGGUGCAUGGCGUUCUUAGUUGGUGGGCGAUUUGUGCGGAUAAUUCCGAUAGCGAAAGCGAGACCUCAGCCUGCUAACUAGCUUCUGGCGGAGGCAUCCCUCAGCGACCAGCUCUAGAGGGACUAUGGCGUUUAGGCCCGCGGAAGUUGAGGCAAUAACAGGUCUGUGAUGCCCUUAGAUGUUUUGGGCGCCGCCUUCUGCGAUGUAUUCAGCGAGUCUAUAGCCUUGGCCGGCGGGCCGGGUAAUCUUUGAAAAUUUCAUCAUGAUGGGGAUAGAUCAUUACAAUUGUUGGUCUUCAACGAGGAAUUCCUAGUAGUAAGCGAGUCAUCAGCUUCGGCGUUGACUUCGUCCCCUGCCCUUUGUACACACGCCCGUCACUCCUACCGAUUGAAUGGUCGGUGUAGUGUUGGGAUCGGCGGCGAGGGCGGUUCGCCGCUGUGACAUCGCGAAGUCCACUGAACCUUAUCAUUUAGAGGAAGGAGAAGUUAAAUAACAAAGUUUCCGUAGGUGAACCUGCGGAAG
Molecule: ribosomal RNA, 1774 nt
Filed under: Musa schizocarpa
Lineage: Eukaryota; Viridiplantae; Streptophyta; Magnoliopsida; Zingiberales; Musaceae
Description: SSU rRNA
Rfam family: Eukaryotic small subunit ribosomal RNA
Source: RNAcentral